This 269-nucleotide ribosomal RNA is filed under the name uncultured bacterium. RNAcentral describes it as "partial 16S ribosomal RNA". It matches the Rfam family "Bacterial small subunit ribosomal RNA", at positions 336 to 602 of the family's 1533-position model. The record is from RNAcentral.
UUCCUACGGGGCGCAGCAGUGAGGAAUAUUGGUCAAUGGGCGGAAGCCUGAACCAGCCAAGCCGCGUAAAGGACGAAGGUGCCAAGCAUUGUAAACUUCUUUUGUCAAGGGACAAAAUCAGGCUCGAGAGCCUGACCGAAGGUACUUGAAGAAAAAGCAUCGGCUAACUCCGUGCCAGCAGCCGCGGUAAUACGGAGGAUGCGAGCGUUAUCCGGAUUUAUUGGGGUUAAAGGGUGCGUAGGCGGGCUGUUAAGUCAGCGGUAAAAGCC